ACACAACAGCAUGGUUUGAAAAAAAGAGGUUACCAGUGAUGUAAGGGAUAUGUGAUUUGUAUUAAAUGGGCUGAAACAGUGGUUCCCAAUAUGGGAUUUGGGACCCCAAAGAUAAGGGAUGAAGAAAAAAAACAUUACAAAACAACUAAUCUGAUUCUGCCACUCUAUAAGGUGUCUGUUUACCGAAGGUGAAAACCUUUACUUCAUUAGUGUAUAGUGAGAUCAGACAGAUCAUACUAUACAGCCAGAGUUAAAUCUUGAAAUACCUGCAGAAGAUGGACGUUGUCUGUGGAACAGCUUGGGAAGACAGUGAGAAGAGAGACGGGAAGGACAGAAUGAGGGAAGCCUCUCAGUCUGUAGAUUGAGGCAGAGCAUAUUGGAUUUCAUGGGGAACUAGCGCUGAUGUGGAGAUACUGCUUCUUUUGUUUUAAUUUGUAACCCAAUGCUGGAGCCGUCUGAGCUGCCAGUAGAGAAUGCAGAUGCCAAAGAUGUGGGGGUGAGUUAAGGAGAACGGAGAGGCCACCGGAUGGUAUCAAAACCCUUUUCACUUCUCUUGGUGUGGCGCCGAUCUCAUUGACUCAAAUAGCCAACAGUCACCCGAGGAACGUGUCUGGAGCUACAAAGAGUCGCCCUAGGCUGCGCCGAAUAGCUUUCGGAGCAGCUAAACAGUGUAAAACUGGAAAACACCUGCUGUGGCCUCACUGACUGGGCUGUGACCACAAAAUGUCAUCCCAGAGAGAGCAGUGCAGCACAAAUGUAGCCUGUAUCUAACAGUAAGGCUGGGUAUUGAACCAGGGAUGCAAAGAUACCGGAUCGGAUAUCGGGCCGAUAUUGACUCGAAAAGCUGGAUCGGAUAUCAGUGACAAUGGGGCUGAUCUACUCAAUUCAAUUCUAUGUUUAUAUACUAUA
Long non-coding RNA from Sebastes umbrosus (honeycomb rockfish), 909 nucleotides. RefSeq lists it as uncharacterized. The transcript is spliced from 3 exons. NCBI's taxonomy places the organism in Eukaryota, Metazoa, Chordata, Actinopteri, Perciformes, Sebastidae. The record is from RefSeq and is a predicted model, not a curated record.